CUGAAACCUCAGUUCCCAUGAGAUCAUCAAAGUUAAGCAAUGUCGAGCCUGAUCAGUACCUAGAUGGAUAACCACUUGGAAAUACCAGGUGCUGUAA
This is a non-coding RNA of Acanthosepion pharaonis, 97 nucleotides long. The record is from the annotation of a GenBank genome assembly. NCBI's taxonomy places the organism in Eukaryota, Metazoa, Mollusca, Cephalopoda, Sepiida, Sepiidae.